UAGUCUACGCCGUAAACGAUGAGUGCUAGAUGUCGGGAAUAUAUUCUCGGUUUCGUAGCUAACGCAUUAAGCACUCCGCCUGGGGACUACGAUCGCAAGAUUAAAACUCAAAGGAAUUGACGGGGGCUCGCACAAGUGGUGGAGCAUGCGGUUUAAUUCGAUGCUACGCGAAAAACCUUACCAACCCUUGACAUGGUGGUCGCGAAUCACAGAGAUGAGAUUCUUCAGUUCGGCUGGACCACACACAGGUGUUGCAUGGCUGUCGUCAGCUCGUGUCGUGAGAUGUUGGGUUAAGUCCCGCAACGAGCGAAACCCUCAUCCUUAUUUGCCAGCGAUUCGGUCGGGAACUAUAAGGAAACUGCCAGUGAUAAACUGGAGGAAGGUGGGGACGAUGUCAAGUCAUCAUGACCCUUACGGGUUGGGCUACACGCGUGCUACAAUGGUAUCUACAAAGGGAAGCAAGACGGCGACGUGGAGCAAAUCCCAAAAAGAUAUCUCAGUUC
Molecule: ribosomal RNA, 503 nt
Filed under: uncultured bacterium
Lineage: Bacteria
Description: bacterial SSU rRNA
Rfam family: Bacterial small subunit ribosomal RNA
Source: RNAcentral